GCAGUCGUGGCCUAGUUGUUAGGGCGAUGAACUGGAAAUCCAUCGGGGUCUCCCUGUGCAGCUUUGAAUCCUGCUGACUACG
Molecule: transfer RNA, 82 nt
Filed under: Lepisosteus oculatus (spotted gar)
Lineage: Eukaryota; Metazoa; Chordata; Actinopteri; Semionotiformes; Lepisosteidae
Rfam family: tRNA
About the family: Transfer RNA (tRNA) molecules are approximately 80 nucleotides in length. Their secondary structure includes four short double-helical elements and three loops (D, anti-codon, and T loops). Further hydrogen bonds mediate the characteristic L-shaped molecular structure. tRNAs have two regions of fundamental functional importance: the anti-codon, which is responsible for specific mRNA codon recognition, and the 3' end, to which the tRNAs corresponding amino acid is attached (by aminoacyl-tRNA synthetases). tRNAs cope with the degeneracy of the genetic code in two manners: having more than one tRNA (with a specific anti-codon) for a particular amino acid; and 'wobble' base-pairing, i.e. permitting non-standard base-pairing at the 3rd anti-codon position.
Source: Rfam by way of RNAcentral